CUUCCCGACUGGCCCGCCUGGAGGCUCUUUCCUCUCAAUAAAGCCUGAACUUAAGACUUUCUUCUAACCUGCCGUCCAGUUUUUUCCGAAUGAGCUCUGUCUUCCCGUAGAGGGAGGUCGGACACCAUAGGUUCUCUGAGUCCAGAAAGCACGCAGAGCCAAUGCUGUCAUUUUGAGUCUGAAAAUUUGGCCAAAUGAGGGGUGUUGUCAGAGACAUCACAGGGCUACCCAUACGUAAAUGUUCAUUACUCUAAAUUCUUUCUUUUGGGAAUUGAUGGUGAAAAUCUCCCCCUGAAGUGUCAAGCUGUCACGUUGGGUAGAUGAGAUAAGUCACACACACUUGCCUCACUGCAGUUGUCUCAUGCUUAGUCAUGCAUGCUUGUUUUUAGGAAUAGUUAUUUGAUGAAAGAAUUCAUGACCACAGGGCCUAACGCAGGAGUAGACAAGCAGAGGCUGAGGCACUGGAAACAGAGGGACCACAUGAAUGUACCACCGAGAAAAACCAGAGCACUCCCAACUCUCUCCUCCACCCAACAUCCUCCUCCUCUUCCACUGAGAAAGCCUCUUUCUGAGAGAUAGAGGAGGGACAUUGUCUCUAAAGAGUCAUUGUUAAAUUAUGCGAUUUUUCCUAGAAGAACACAGGAUUGUGAGGAGUGAGUAGAACAGCAUCUUAGUCUGUUUUGUGCUGCUGUAACAGAAUAUCUAGAAUUAGGUAAUUUACAAUGAGCAGGAAUGUAUUGGCUCAUAGUCCUGGAGGCUGGGAAGGUCAAUAGUACGGUGCUGACAUCUGGCGAGAGCCUUCUUGCUGUACCAUCACAUGGAAGAAGGCAAGGAGGUCUCGGUUCCCUGGGUGUGAGGAGAUGAGUCCCCUUGGCUGAGCCAUUUCUAACAGGACUGGAGGAUUUCUGCAGGAAGUGGUGG
Molecule: long non-coding RNA, 921 nt
Organism: Callithrix jacchus (white-tufted-ear marmoset)
Lineage: Eukaryota; Metazoa; Chordata; Mammalia; Primates; Cebidae
Source: RefSeq, a predicted model, not a curated record